RNAcentral lists this ribosomal RNA (207 nucleotides) under uncultured delta proteobacterium. RNAcentral's name for it is "partial 16S ribosomal RNA". It matches the Rfam family "Bacterial small subunit ribosomal RNA", at positions 568 to 774 of the family's 1533-position model. Lineage: Bacteria; Deltaproteobacteria. The record is from RNAcentral.
CGUGUAGGCGGUCUUUUAAGUCUGAUGUGAAAGCCCCGGGCUCAACCUGGGAAGUGCAUUGGAAACUGGGAGACUUGAAUACGGGAGAGGGUAGUGGAAUUCCUGGUGUAGGAGUGAAAUCCGUAGAUAUCAGGAGGAACACCGGUGGCGAAGGCGGCUGCCUGGACCGAUAUUGACGCUGAGACGCGAAAGCGUGGGGAGCAAACA